This 440-nucleotide ribosomal RNA is filed under the name uncultured bacterium. RNAcentral describes it as "partial 16S ribosomal RNA". It matches the Rfam family "Bacterial small subunit ribosomal RNA", at positions 338 to 795 of the family's 1533-position model. The record is from RNAcentral.
CCUACGGGUAGCUGCAGUAGGGAAUAUUGCUCAAUGGGGGAAACCCUGAAGCAGCAACGCCGCGUGGAGGAUGAAGGUUUUCGGAUUGUAAACUCCUUUUGUUAGAGAAGAUAAUGACGGUAUCUACCGAAUAAUCCCCGGCUAACUCCGUGCCAGCAGCCGCGGUACUACGUAGGGUGCAAGCGUUACUCGGAAUCACUGGGCGUAAAGAGCGCGUAGGCGGGAUAGCAAGUCAGAGGUGAAAUCCUAUGGCUUAACCAUAGAACUGCAUUUGAAACUUUUAGUCUAGAGUAUGGGAGAGGUAGGUGGAAUGCUUGGUGUAGGGGUAAAAUCCGUAGAGAUCAAGAGGAAUACUCAUUGCGAAGGCGACCUGCUAGAACAUAACUGACGCUGAUGCGCGAAAGCGUGGGGAGCAAACAGGAUUAGAUACCCGUGUAGUC